CCUACGGGAGGCAGCAGUGGGGGAUAUUGCACAAUGGGGGAAACCCUGAUGCAGCGACGCCGCGUGUGGGAAGACGGCCCUCUGGAUUGUAAACCACUUUCCCCAGGGACGAAGAUGACGGUACCUGGGGACGAAGCUCCGGCUAACUACGUGCCAGCAGCCGCGGUAAUACGCAGGGAGCGAGCGUUGUCCGGAAUUACUGGGUGUAAAGGGAGCGUAGGCGGGUCUGCAGGUUGGGGGUAAAAUCUCACGGCUCAACCGGUAGCCGCACUCAAAACUGCAGUUCUUGAGUGAAGUAGAGGCAGGCGGAAUUCGUGGUGUAGCGGUGAAAUGCGUAGAUAUUAGGAAGAACACCGAUGGCGAAGGCAGCCUGCUGGGCUGUUACUGACGCUGAGGCUCGAAAGUGUGGGGAUCAAACAGGAUUAGAUACCCUGGUAGUC
Molecule: ribosomal RNA, 440 nt
Filed under: uncultured bacterium
Lineage: Bacteria
Description: partial 16S ribosomal RNA
Rfam family: Bacterial small subunit ribosomal RNA
Source: RNAcentral